RNAcentral lists this long non-coding RNA (264 nucleotides) under Anser brachyrhynchus (Pink-footed goose). RNAcentral describes it as "lncRNA (ENSABRG00000012622.1)". The record is from RNAcentral. Lineage: Eukaryota; Metazoa; Chordata; Aves; Anseriformes; Anatidae.
UGGAAGAAUUAUCUGUGUUUCAGGAGCAUGGAUACAUACUAUGUGAAGAGGAAAUCUGAGCUGAGACCUGGAAAUGCCAUUCUACCUACAUAAGAUACUCUCAUCAGGCGAGCUCUCACCAGAGCAUGAAGGCUCCAGGGCACUGUGCUCUAGAGGACAAUAAGUGGCUGCCAAGCUGUCUGGAAACCCAUAUUUUGUCAUGUGGGAAAUUCUGACAUUCUGUAAUGUUUUCAUUCUAAAUAAUAAAACUUUAAGUCUCUCUCA